RNAcentral lists this ribosomal RNA (1243 nucleotides) under metagenome. RNAcentral describes it as "bacterial LSU rRNA". It matches the Rfam family "Bacterial large subunit ribosomal RNA", at positions 1564 to 2817 of the family's 2925-position model. The record is from RNAcentral.
UGAAUACGAGACGCUAAGGCGUCGAAGUAGUGUAUGUCAUACUUCCAAGAAAAGCUUGCACUGUCAUAGAUAAAAAACGCCUGUACCAUAACCGACACAGGUGGGUAGGUAGAGUAUACUAAGGGGCGCGAGAUAACUCUCUCUAAGGAACUCGGCAAAAUAACUCCGUAACUUCGGGAGAAGGAGUGCCUUAUUCGUAAGGUUGCAAUAACAAGAUCCAAGCAACUGUUUAUCAAAAACACAGGUCUCCGCUAAGUCGUAAGACGAUGUAUGGGGCUGACGCCUGCCCAGUGCCAGAAGGUUAAAGAAGUUGGUUAGCAAUUGCGAAGCUGAUAACUGAAGCCCUGGUGAACGGCGGCCGUAACGAUAACGGUCCUAAGGUAGCGAAAUUCCUUGUCGGGUAAGUUCCGACCCGCACGAAAGGCGUAAUGAUUUGGAUACUGUCUCGGAGAGGGGCUCGGUGAAAUAGACUUGUCUGUGAAGAUGCGGACUACCUGCACCAGGACAGAAAGACCCUAUGAAGCUUUACUGUAACUUGAAAUUGAAAUUGGACUUUAUUCGCGCAGUAUAGGUGGGAGGCGUUGAUUAUAAUCUUGUGGGAUUAUUGGAGCCAUCAGUGAGAUACCACUCUUGUAAUGUUAGAUUUCUAACUUUGAAUCAUUAUCUGGUCAAAGAACAGUUUCAGGCGGGCAGUUUGACUGGGGCGGUCGCCUCCUAAACGGUAACGGAGGCGUACAAAGGUUUCCUCUGAACGGUUAGAAAUCGUAUCUAGAGUGUAAAGGCAUAAGGAAGCUUGACUGUGAGACCUACAAGUCGAGCAGGGACGAAAGUCGGUCUUAGUGAUCUGACGGUACUGAGUGGAAAGGCCGUCACUCAACGGAUAAAAGUUACUCUAAGGAUAACAGGCUGAUCUCCCCCAAGAGUUCACAUCGACGGGGAGGUUUGGCACCUCGAUGUCGGCUCAUCGCAUCCUGGGGCGGUAGUACGUCCCAAGGGUUGGGCUGUUCGCCCAUGAAAGCGGUACGCGAGCUGGGUUCAGAACGUCGUGAGACAGUUCGGUCCAUAUCCGGUGUAGGCGUUAGAAUAUUGAGAGGAGCCUUCUUUAGUACGAGAGGACCGAGAAGGACAUACCUCUGGUGUACCAGUUAUCGUGCCAACGGUAAACGCUGGGUAGCUAUGUAUGGAGUGGAUAACCGCUGAAAGCAUCUAAGUGGGAAGCCCACCUCAAGAUAAGUAUUCUCAC